RNAcentral lists this ribosomal RNA (254 nucleotides) under uncultured bacterium. RNAcentral describes it as "partial 16S ribosomal RNA". It matches the Rfam family "Bacterial small subunit ribosomal RNA", at positions 524 to 776 of the family's 1533-position model. The record is from RNAcentral.
GACGAACCGUCCUAACGUUAUUCGGAAUUACUGGGCUUAAAGCGCGUGUAGGCGGGACGACACGUUCGUCGCUGAAAUCCCCCGGCUCAACCGGGGAACGGGCGCGAAUACGAUCGUCCUGGAGGGGUGUAGGGGGACCUGGAACUUCCGGUGGAGCGGUGAAAUGCGUUGAGAUCGGAAGGAACGCCCGUGGCGAAAGCGAGGUCCUGGACACUUUCUGACGCUGAGACGCGAAAGCCAGGGGAGCAAACGGG